AUGAUCUCGUGGGCUCGGCUAUCUGUGUUAAAGACACUGUGAAGAAACUCUAUUACCUUGACGUGGCCAAGGUCAACACCCAGAUCAGGCCUGAUGGAAAGAAGAAGGCAUAUGUUUGACUGGCUCCUAAUUAUGAUGCUUU
Long non-coding RNA from Prionailurus viverrinus (fishing cat), 142 nucleotides. RefSeq lists it as uncharacterized. The transcript has 3 exons. The record is from RefSeq and is a predicted model, not a curated record. NCBI's taxonomy places the organism in Eukaryota, Metazoa, Chordata, Mammalia, Carnivora, Felidae.